This 1426-nucleotide ribosomal RNA is filed under the name Enterococcus durans. RNAcentral describes it as "bacterial SSU rRNA". It matches the Rfam family "Bacterial small subunit ribosomal RNA". The record is from RNAcentral. Lineage: Bacteria; Bacillati; Bacillota; Bacilli; Lactobacillales; Enterococcaceae.
GCAGGUCGUACGCUUCUUUUUCCACCGGAGCUUGCUCCACCGGAAAAAGAAGAGCGGUGAACGGGUGAGUAACACGUGGGUAACCUGCCCAUCAGAAGGGGAUAACACUUGGAAACAGGUGCUAAUACCGUAUAACAAUCGAAACCGCAUGGUUUUGAUUUGAAAGGCGCUUUCGGGUGUCGCUGAUGGAUGGACCCGCGGUGCAUUAGCUAGUUGGUGAGGUAACGGCUCACCAAGGCCACGAUGCAUAGCCGACCUGAGAGGGUGAUCGGCCACAUUGGGACUGAGACACGGCCCAAACUCCUACGGGAGGCAGCAGUAGGGAAUCUUCGGCAAUGGACGAAAGUCUGACCGAGCAACGCCGCGUGAGUGAAGAAGGUUUUCGGAUCGUAAAACUCUGUUGUUAGAGAAGAACCAAGGAUGAGAGUAACUCGUUCAUCCCUUGACGGUAUCUAACCAGAAAGCCACGGCUAACUACGUGCCAGCAGCCGCGGGUAAUACGUAGGUGGCAAGCGUUGUCCGGAUUUAUUGGGCGGUAAAGCGAGCGCAGGCGGUUUCUUAAGUCUGAUGUGAAAGCCCCCGGCUCAACCGGGGGAGGGUCAUUGGAAACUGGGAGACUUGAGUGCAGAAGAGGAGAGUGGAAUUCCAUGUGUAGCGGUGAAAUGCGUAGAUAUAUGGAGGAACACCAGUGGCGAAGGCGGCUCUCUGGUCUGUAACUGACGCUGAGGCUCGAAAGCGUGGGGAGCAAACAGGAUUAGAUACCCUGGUAGUCCACGCCGUAAACGAUGAGUGCUAAGUGUUGGAGGGUUUCCGCCCUUCAGUGCUGCAGCUAACGCAUUAAGCACUCCGCCUGGGGAGUACGACCGCAAGGUUGAAACUCAAAGGAAUUGACGGGGGCCCGCACAAGCGGUGGAGCAUGUGGUUUAAUUCGAAGCAACGCGAAGAACCUUACCAGGUCUUGACAUCCUUUGACCACUCUAGAGAUAGAACUUCCCCUUCGGGGCCAAAGUGACAGGUGGUGCAUGGUUGUCGUCAGCUCGUGUCGUGAGAUGUUGGGUUAAGUCCCGCAACGAGCGCAACCCUUAUUGUUAGUUGCCAUCAUUCAGUUGGGCACUCUAGCAAGACUGCCGGUGACAAACCGGAGGAAGGUGGGGAUGACGUCAAAUCAUCAUGCCCCUUAUGACCUGGGCUACACACGUGCUACAAUGGGAAGUACAACGAGUCGCGAAGUCGCGAGGCUAAGCUAAUCUCUUAAAGAUUCUCUCAGUUCGGAUUGUAGGCUGCAACUCGCCUACAUGAAGCCGGAAUCGCUAGUAAUCGCGGAUCAGCACGACGCGGUGAAUACGUUCCCGGGCCUUGUACACACCGCCCUUCACAGCACGAGAGUUUGUAACACCCGAAGUCGGUGAGGUAACCUUUUGGAGCC